This 924-nucleotide long non-coding RNA is filed under the name Danio rerio (zebrafish). Its description in RNAcentral is "lncRNA si:dkeyp-2g11.2 (ENSDARG00000097158.2)". Lineage: Eukaryota; Metazoa; Chordata; Actinopteri; Cypriniformes; Danionidae. The record is from RNAcentral.
GCACUGUUCUGACGCUCUUCUCGCCGCCGAUGGAGGAUGGACCUGAAGGACUCAAAGAAGCUGGAAUACGCUCGUGAAGACGAAGCACAGACAUUUGCAGAAAAUGAAGUGGACGAGGAAGCAGUAGUGUAAUAACGUGAUUCCUGCAAUUGGUGAGGAUGCAUCAUCUUUUGAGGGUAAUGCGAAUGUCCUGCGUAUCCAGUGAAAUAAGUCAUGGUGAACCUGACUGAAUGCAUUCAUCAACCAUCUCCAACCAAGUCAGAGCUUCAAGGGCAGCUUGUGCUUAAGGUGCCUGAGCUUGAUUAAGAAAAAAAGCAUCUCCACUGGCCAAAGUCUACAAAAAAGCAGGAGAAUAGAAGUUUGCUGAUGAUCUAACAGGUGGUGCAGUGGGUAGCACGAUCGCCUCACAUCAAGAAGGUUGCUGGUUCGUGACUCUGCUGGGUCAGUUGGCAUUUCUGUGUGGAGUUUGCAUGUUCUUGCAUGUUGACGUGGGUUUCCUCCAGGUGCUCCGGUUUCCUCCACAAGUCCAAGUCCAACAAGUCCAAAGACGUGCUACAGGUGAAUUGGUGGGAUGAUGAUGAUGCUCCCUACCCACCUCUACAGAUGGUUGAAAGUCCUUUGCAAAGUGUUGGAGAAUAGGAGUUAAAAGGCAUUAUUACAUCCUUCACCGUUUACUGUGUUUUCAACUUGGCUUAUCCACGCUACAUAAAGAAUGCAAAGGAUGAACAUCAGCAACUCCCCGAGAUGGAACAACAAUUUAAAUUUGAACAUCAGCAACGGUGUGAAGAUGGAGAUCCAAAAUUACAAGAAAAACAACUCAGUGCAGCUGUCCGAGAGAACUGGUAUUGCUGGGUCUGCAUCAAACAGCAAUGCUUGGAUCUUUGCAUUUACUUUUUUGCAUGCGUUUCGAGUCUGCAUCAGUAU